AGGAUGAACGCUGGCGGCGUGCCUAACACAUGCAAGUCGAACGUCCUGUCUCGCAAGAGGCAGGGAGUGGCGGACGGGUGAGUACCACGUGGGUGAUCUACCGUGAGGUGAGGAAUACCGGCGAGAAAUCGCCGACAAGACCGCAUAGCCUCGGUGCAAGCCGAGGAAAGCUUUCUCGAGAGAGGGAGCGCCACACGAGGAGCCUGCGCCCGAUUAGCUAGCUGGUGGAGUAACGGUUCACCAGGGCGACGAUCGGUAGCUGGUCUGAGAGGACGAUCAGCCACACUGGGAUUGAGAACGGCCCAGACUCCUACGGGGGGCAGCAGUGAGGAAUUUUCGUCAAUGGGGCAACCCUGAACGAGCAACGCCGCGUGCAGGAAGAAGGUUUUCGGAUCGUAAACUGCUUUUCUCGGGGACGAGCAAGGACGGUACCCGAGGAACGAAGCCCCGGCUAACUACGUGCCAGCAGCCGCGGUAA
This 478-nucleotide ribosomal RNA is filed under the name uncultured bacterium. RNAcentral describes it as "SSU rRNA". It matches the Rfam family "Bacterial small subunit ribosomal RNA", at positions 26 to 523 of the family's 1533-position model. The record is from RNAcentral.